AGCAGCUCUGGUUCGCCAUCCUCGAGUCCCAGGUUGAGACUGGUAACCCGUACAUGCUCUUCAAGGAUGCGUGCAACCGCAAGUCCAACCAGCAGAACCUCGGCACCAUCCGAUCCUCCAACCUCUGCACCGAGAUUGUCGAGUACACCUCGCCGGAGGAGACCGCGGUGUGCAACCUCGCGUCCAUCGCGCUGCCCCGCUUCGUCAUCGAGAACAACCCCCAGUCCCCCACGGGCCGCACCGAGGCGAAGAAGCUCCGAGGGUCCAUCGGCGCCGCCAACAGGUACUUCGACCACGACAAGCUCGCCGAGAUCACCCGCAAGGUGACCCGCAACCUCAACCGCAUCAUCGACGUCAACUACUACCCCGUCGAGACCGCCAGGCGCAGCAACAUGAAGCACAGGCCCAUUGGCCUCGGCGUUCAGGGCCUCGCCGACGUCUUCAUCCUCCUCGGCAUGCCCUUCGACUCUCCCG
This 474-nucleotide long non-coding RNA is filed under the name Micromonas commoda. RNAcentral describes it as "long non-coding RNA (MCOM_LNC000104)". Lineage: Eukaryota; Viridiplantae; Chlorophyta; Mamiellophyceae; Mamiellales; Mamiellaceae. The record is from RNAcentral.